Molecule: long non-coding RNA, 239 nt
Filed under: Homo sapiens (human)
Lineage: Eukaryota; Metazoa; Chordata; Mammalia; Primates; Hominidae
Description: HSALNT0292253
Source: RNAcentral
CGGUGGGCCGGGCCUUCACCACCCUGGUGACUUUGGUCCAGCUUGGCUGCCUAAUCCUCUACAAAAAUGCGAAGAAAGUAAACCAACAUGUACAAACACGAGUAAACGCAGGAAUAGGCGAGGGAAUGGUCAUCUCCAUGGCAGUGACGUUCCACGGUGCGAAUGGGCAGAGAGAGCCAGUGGCUUCCGGCCUUACAUAACCUUCUCACCUGGUAGGUAGGCAGCUAGUGAGAAACGCA